Fundulus heteroclitus (mummichog) is the source of this 409-nucleotide long non-coding RNA. RefSeq lists it as uncharacterized. Lineage: Eukaryota; Metazoa; Chordata; Actinopteri; Cyprinodontiformes; Fundulidae. The record is from RefSeq and is a predicted model, not a curated record. The transcript is spliced from 3 exons.
UGCAGAAGCUAUAAAAUUGUCAUUCUUCUGCAAGGCCUCCAACUCCUUGACAUUUCCCUGACCCCCCCCGGCUACAGAGAAUGCUGAUUGGCUCGUUUGGAGCAUGCCGCCACAGACACGACAACUCUGCCAACACGGCACACAACACUCCACAGCACGGCUGGUGUAGAAAACGCUUGAGGAAAACUGAUGGAGAGACCUGGCUCUUGGCUCUGGACAAAGGCUGCAGAGCGAUGAAGUCGUCACCUAUGACCACUCGGUUGGAAUACAUCUACACCAGGAGAGCACAAACAAAGGAUCCGCUUUUGCAGUGCAUGGUUGUCUUCUCAGCAAAAUGGAACGCAGACACAAAUCACAGAUCCAACCUGCAGAGCAUCUGAACAGGCGACUCAAACCUUUGGUAGAGGCG